Molecule: ribosomal RNA, 1107 nt
Filed under: Triticum aestivum (bread wheat)
Lineage: Eukaryota; Viridiplantae; Streptophyta; Magnoliopsida; Poales; Poaceae
Description: partial small subunit ribosomal RNA
Source: RNAcentral
AUGGAUCGCUCGCCUGCCAAGUUCGUCUUGCUCCUUAUGGCAGCGGCAACCUGGAGCUUCUUUCUCGUCGCCGAGGCAGGCAAGCUCCAGCCGAGCUGCAUAGGGCACGAGAGGAACGCGUUGCUGGCCUUCAAGCAAGGCAUCAGCGACGACCCCAAGGACUACCUUGGGUCAUGGCGACAAGAGCGCCAAGAUUGCUGCCAAUGGGCAGGCAUCACAUGCGACAACGUAACCGGCCAUGUCGUCAAGCUUGACCUUGGCCAAAGAAAUUAUUUGGCCGGCCAGAUAAGUCCUUCCUUGCUUUCUCUAGAGCAUCUCGAGUACCUCAAUCUCAACUCAACGGGACUGUGUGGGCCUGAUGGUCGUAUUCCAGAGUUCUUGGGUUCUUUAAGGAACUUGAGGCAUCUUGAUCUCUCCUACUCGUGUAUGUACUCAACAAACAUCUCAUGGUUAACUCGUCUUCCUCUGUUGGUGCAUCUUGAUAUGAGUGGGACCAAUCUCAGCUUAGUUGCCGAUUGGCCUCUUGUUCUCAAUAAGAUUCCAUCUUUGGAGUUGCUCCGUCUUCCUGAGUGCUCGCUUUCAAGUGCAAACCAAUCCCUCGCACACCUAAACCUCACAAAUCUUCAAUACCUUGAUCUCUCAAAUAACUACUUUGGUCAUCCAAUUGCAUCCAGUUGGUUUUGGAACAUAACAAGCAUCAAGUACCUCGACCUUUCUGGUACCUCUCUCUAUGGUCCGUUUCCUAAUGCACUAGGAAAUAUGACAUCUCUCCAAGAACUUUAUUUUGGCCCCUAUUCUUCCGAUGGUGACUCACCCACCACAACUGCUAACACGGCCACAAUGACAGUAGACUUGAAAAAUCUAUGUGAUUUGGAAGACCUAUUGCUUGAUGGAAGCCUCUCCUCUGGGAACAUAACAGAGUUUAUAGAUAAACUGCCAAGGUGUUCAUCCAACAGAUUGCAGCGUUUGAGGUUGAGCCGCAACAAUAUGGUUGGAAUUCUACCAGACAGAUUGGGGAACUUAACCAACUUAGCUUUGUUGGACCUUUCUUACAAUAACAUUACUGGAGCUAGGCAUAAGCAAUCUUUCUUGUUUAGAAACACUUGA